Mirounga angustirostris (Northern elephant seal) is the source of this 6544-nucleotide long non-coding RNA. RefSeq lists it as uncharacterized. The transcript is spliced from 6 exons. The record is from RefSeq and is a predicted model, not a curated record. NCBI's taxonomy places the organism in Eukaryota, Metazoa, Chordata, Mammalia, Carnivora, Phocidae.
CGCGCGCGUGCUGGAGAGCCGGAAGCAGAGGAUGAAGUCGGGGUGUGUGUGUGUGUGUGUGUGUGUGUGCGCGCGCGCGCGCGCGCGUGCUGGAGAGCCGGAAGCAGAGGAUGAAGUCGGGGACUGCGAGGGAAGGAGAAAUGGCGUUCACUGAAGCUUUGCUCCAUGAGGUGGCCCUGGAAUGUCUGCAGGAGGAGGGGGCAGUGCUGCGGUCGAUGCUGAGGUACAGACCGAGGGCCCUGGGAGCAGGGGGGAGGCCAGACGCCUCUCCUGGAACGAGCCCGUAAGACCUGGGACCCUGAGCUGGAGCAGCAUUCAUCUUAAGGAGGCGCUGGUUUUCUGAGAGAAGAGGAGGGGAAUGGACAAACUUUGGGUUUCUGAAUGCAACCCACAUGGAAAAUAAACAGAAGGCAUUAAGAGGUCUGCACAACUGAAAUAAAACAGCUACUGGAUGUUCCAGAAAGGAGGAAAAGAAGCUUACUGGAAGAACAUGUGCUAAUGAAGUCUUCAAAGCAAGGUGAAUAGAAGACCCUGACCUCAUCUCUCCUAUUGGCCCAUAUCCUUUCCUGUCUGCCCCCAUGAUGCAACCAGGCUCAUCUCCUGCCUGCUCCCAGUCUCCCAGAAUCCAGAUCUCUCUCAAUAUCUGACGACUCGAUCCUUUUGGAGCAAUGGCCGUUGUAGGAGGAGGAGGUGAAGGCAGCUUCCUGCUGAGAUGCACUAAGCAAGAAGCCAAAACUCAGCUAGGAGAGCUCAGGGUUCCUACCCGCCCUGCCCUGAGGUGCGCUUCUGCUCCGGCCCCAGAAUCAGAAUGGCUAUUCCAGAUGUGGACUCUGCUUUGACACAGAAGACACUAAAUAUUCAUGAUUUCCUGACUGUGGGAAGUAUGGUUGUUCAUUUUCCAAGUCUUUCCCUUUUUUGAUGUUGCUUCAGGAAUAGAAAAUCAGAAGUUCUUGAUGAGGUGACUGAUGCCAAGGCCUCCUGUCACGCACUUCAACCUUUUUGUUUGUGAAGGCUUCUAUGCAAGGAAGAGUGAGUGAGCCCCAUCUUUUCCUCCCACUAAAGACUGCAGUCACUUCACUGAACACGGACAGACAGGACGAUGCAGCAACAGAUGGAGUUCAACAUGAAACCAAGGAAGGCUGUCAGAUGCAAGCAUUGCAGACAGCAGUCAGGGGCUACCUGUCCUGUUCUACGUAAGCGAAAGGACAGGACAAGACAGGAGGAGACACCAGCAGCAUCCCAAGGUUCCUGAUGGGUAAGAAGAUAACAAGGGCUCUGAAAGAAGCACCUGCCCAGAGCUCUGUCUCCUCCAACCCCACCUCCCCUGCCCCCAUCUGCCUGGGUCGGGUCCACCAGGACCCGGGAUAUGGAUCACAUGCAGACUCCCCCCCCCACAGGCCAAACUUCUCACACUGGGGCCAAAGCGGCAGGCACCACAGGAGGCUAGGGAGUCCGAGAAGCCACAGGCAAAUGUGGAACACUUUUCUGGAACAUCAGUUCCACUAGAUGACUUGAGGAAAUUAUUUUCGAUAUUUGGAGAAAAAUGCAAAGUUCUCAUGCAUUUCCAAGGACAAAGCAGAAGACUUCAAAUAAAAUGUUAUCUUUUGUGAACUGAGUUACAGUGGCAGGUCCUUUGCCACUGGGGUUACUGCUGGCUGGAAGCAUCCCUUCUCUAGAUUUUAGGUACCUAGGCAUUGAAGGGUUAAUGAAUAAGAGAGGUCACAGCAAAUUCUGUGGCCUUUAGGAAUACUGGUCAGUUGAAAGGAACGGUUUUGAUUUCUCCCUUGAUUGUACUUCCUGGAGCAGAGAUGCGGAGCAAUGCAGCCUGUCUUGGAGACAAUGAAUCUGCGGCUGAAAGAAGCAGGUGUGCUGGAUGCCAGGUGCAGUCACAAAGUAAAGGACGCGCAGGAACCUCCCUGCUACAGGGCAGGCCCCAAGCGGCCCGAACACUCUUUGCCUAGCCAUGACGUUCUGCUGCUGUCACUGUGGCUGAAGAGCUCUCUUCCUUGGAAGUCAUGAGGGGUUCAACAUCUUUUAAAAUCCAGACAAUUCAAAGGGCGCCCGGGUGGCUCAGUCGGUUAAGCGGCCGACUCUCGAUUUUGGCUCAGGUCAUGAUCUCAGGGUGCUGGGAUCUAGCCCCACGGCAGGCUCUGCGCUCAGCGGCGAGUCUGCUUGAAGAUUCUCUCUCUCCCUCUGCCCCACCCCCCACUUGUGGUCGUGCUCUCUCAAAUAAACAAAUAAAUCUUUUUUUUUUUUAAGAUUUUAUUUAUUUGACAGAGAGAGACACAGCAAGAGAGGGAACACAAGCAGGGGGAGAGGGAGAGGGAGAAGCAGGCCUCCCGCUGAGCAGGGAGCCCGAUGCGGGGCUCCAUCCCAGGACCCUGGGAUCAUGACCUGAGCCGAAGGCAGACGCUUAACGACAGAGCCAUCCAGGCACCCUAAACAAAUAAAUCUUAAAAAAAAAAAAAAAAAUCCAGACGAUUCAAAAGGAUUAGUAGUAUGAAAGCCAAAGAAUGUGACACUCCUGUGAUUUAUAGGGGAAGAGAAUUCUACGGGCCAGACAUGGUUUACGGCCAAUGCUGGGCAUGUGCCGAGAAGGUCUGGCCUGUCCCUCGCAGCAGAACCACCAUCGGGGGUGACAUCAACAUGGAGGUCUGCAGGAGCCUCCCAAACAAAACCAUUUUACACAUACAAGAAGCUACAGACCAAAGAAGGCAAGCCUUCCAUCUUGAAACUCAGCACACAGAACAGUGCCAAGUGCCACAGAUGUAACUGAAGUUCACAAUUGUUUGCUCUCUAAUUAUCAACGAGGCAGCUCAGAGGGGUGUGUGUGUGUGUGUGUGUGUGUGUAUGUGUGUGUGUGUUUAAAUGACACACAGACAGUACAUCACCAGGGACACUUUUCCCCUACCUAAGAAAAGUGUUGCUUCAGGGUGUUGCCCUGGAAUCAUUAUGAUGACCUUUAAGAGUUAUUUAUAUGUAAUUGGUCCUUGAGUGAAAGAAACAUUUGUGAUUCAGAUGGUGUUUUGUACCUCAAAUGCCACAUAAUAAACUCACAGAAUGAAGGCUGCUGAGUUACGUACCUGAAACACAGCCUCAGCUGGGUCCUAUCAGAAUCCAACACAAGACUGUGGGGGGGGGGUUAUCAUUAGAACACACUGUCCUUUCAUCUUCUACAUCAGGGGUUCCCAAAGUGGGGUCCUCCCACUAGCAGCGGCAGCAUCACCUGGAGACUCUUUAGGACCUGAAUCCAGCUCUACUGAGUUAUAAACUCUAGGGGUAGGACUCAGCAAUCUUUGUCUUAAUAAGCCUUCCACAUGAUUCUGAUGUAUGCUAGAGUUUCAGAACCACCAGGUAAGGUUCUAAAGUCAGAUUUUCUUCACCAAGCAGCCCCUCCCCAAGAAGAGGCCAUCUUCUUCUUGGAGAAGGAGAGUGCCACCCUUUGUGGAGGCAGACAGCUGACACAGGAACUGGACCUCCUGCUCUCUCUGGAGGGCUAUUCAAUAAGGGUCUGGAAAUAAGCUGGCUGGCGACUAGGGUAUCUUGUUUAAUAAUCUGAUUAACAGACCACUGCCACACAUAACCAAAGGUUUAUGGUUUAUCUAAUUUUGAGUAUCUGGAAGGUACCAGUAUUAAGCCUUUUCUAGGCAUAUCUUAAUAACUUCUGGAUGAAUCAGAAAAUGCUCCAGGGUCAUAUAGAAGAGUUACUAAUAUGAGUAACUGCUGGCAAAACACCAACUGUCAAUUAAUAAAGAUGUCCAGUUGACUGAAGCCUUGAUACGUCAGCUCAUAUUAUAUUUCUAAACCAAAGGCUCACAUCAUUUGUCACCCUAUACAUCCCUCCCCCAUCUCAGUCCCUCAGGCCACUCACUUGUAUAAUAAAUGAAGUCUACCUUCUUAGAGUCCAUUAAGCCAUCAGUCAUCCUCUGGCUCCAGGCAAACCCGAUUAUCCCAGAACACAUAUUCACAUACACUCUACUUUUCAAGAGCCACACACAUGGUCAGCAUUUCCUCUGUUGAUUAACUGAAUGAUGGAAACCAUGGGGUCAGGGGACUUGGGCACACCCCACAGUGUGUCACUGAUGGACGAAAACUGUCGACUCUAAUCACAUUCUUCUCUUUUCUUCCCUGUGGAGUCUGCAGUGAUUGAUAUUUAUUUUUCAUUUAUGGAUUGUUAAAUAAAAGUCUUGUUAAAUAAAAGUAAAGUACAUAAAGUGAGAAGGAACAUAAUUCCAAUAGCCUUUGAGAAGAACAAAGGGACAGAGUCAUGCCCUUCCUUCCCAAAGCUCAUCCAAGGCUUCCUCCAUCUUUGUCAAGUCCUCAUUUUGCCUGCUACUGUAUGUGUAUGAGCUCAAGAGCAGAAGAGGUCCGUUUCUACACAUUGGUCAAAAAGAGACAUACGAUCUCCUGAAUCACAGCUGGGGCAGAACAAACGGAUGAAUAUCUAGUGCUGUCAUGAUGGGCCCGUGUCCCUUCGGAGCUGCUCAGCAACACUUCGGCUGGCCUAUGCCUACAGGUGUCAACAGCCCUUUCUCAACCAGAGCCCGCCCAGCUGCUUAGCUCCUCUGUGAGCUACAAGAUGUGACUCAUUCAGUUUCAGGAAUGGGUGGAGAAAAACAAGGUUAGAGAUAAGAUUUUUGCUAGUCCGAGAAAGGGGAGAAAGGGUGAGGUGAGGCUGGGAGGGGUAGGAAAUGAACUUAGAGAAGUCACAGGAGACUCUGGGAAGCUGAAGCAUCUGGGCAAUGUCUCUCUCCUAACUUUGAGAACACUAGUCUCCACUGUAUUUAUUCGAGCUUGGGACCAGAACUUCAUUAAGUGGCUUUGUCUAAAUUGUCCUGGUCAUCAUUUCUGGGGGCGAUGUGCUUCUUUAUCUGAAGUAACGAGAAGCAAGUUGGAGUAAAGCCACUGUGGCUUAGCACUCUCCAUUUUUACCUGGAGAGAAGAGGAUGACACAGGAGUGUGACAUGAAUAGAAAGUUCUAGCUCUUAGAACUCUCUCUCUCAGGAUCUCAAGACCGUUUGAUAAGGAGGCUUGAACCGAAUGGAAUUGCCACACAGUCUAAUCAUCUACUCUUACUAUCAAUAUUUUCAGAGAAUAUUGGUUCUGAGUAGGAUAGGUUCUGGUUUGAAAUGGUUUAUUACAGUUUUUUCUUAAUAUUGACUAGGCCCAUGGUGUGGUAAUUUUUGUUUCAUGUUACAUUAAAUCAUUAUAAUUCUUUCUAGUUGGGAGUCCAAACCUUGUUUCCCUGCUUGAAGCUCCUCUGUUCUAUUCCACUGACUUCCAGUAGGAUCACAAUUCAUCCACAUAGGAGGACUCUCCCUUCCAUCUCCCUGGGAGCAGAUAUAUAACCUGUCUUGGAUUCCAGUUCUGGAGUAUUCUAGAAAACUUUUUCUGUAAAGGGCCAGAUAGUAAAUAGACACUGUAGGCCCCAGAAAAUCUUUGCCACCAUGACUCAACUCUGUCCCUGAGGUUGAACUGGAGCAGAAUGUGCCACUUGAAAAUAUGCCUCUUGGCAUAAGGAUUAUUUGGGGCUGAUUAUUUUUAAGAAUCUACAAACACGGGAGAAACUCUGAAAACAGAGUAGAAGUUACCCCUGUGUAAGAGAAAUCUAAAUUUUAUAAAGGAAAUUUACAUUAGAAAGGGGGCCUGUACCAGGCAGUGAGCUAUUUACCAGAGAUCACUUUUUCAUCUGAGAGACUCAUCUGCAGGGCAGGGCAAACGUUUACCAAAUGUUUCCACUUCUCCCCUGUCAAUUGCCUUCUUCCUUUUGAAUCCCCAGACCCUUAUCUCUUUCCUUAGCUCUGAACUCUUGUCUAUAAGCCUCAAUCUGCUGGCUGCAUUCUGAGUCUCAUAUCUUUGUGGGGCUCCUAUAGGUACUAAUGUGUAUAUAAUUACAUUUUUUUUUCUCCUGUUAAUCUGUUUUUUGGGGGGGGUCUCAGCCAAGAACAAUUAAGAGUAGAGAGAAAAUUACUUUUCCUCCCCUACGUAGGGCUAAAGCAGCCACAGACAACAUGUAAAUGAGUAGGUGAGACCAUGUUCCAAUAAAACACUAUUUACAAAAAUAGGCAGCAGCCAGAUAAGGCCCAUAGCCAUAGUUUACCUACUGCUGUUCUAGAACUUAGUGUGUCAACACCCCUGUUAACUUCUCUUUCUUGCAUAAUUUCAAUCCCUCCUGGUGUUUUUCUUUUUUUAAAAAUUUAAAUUCAAUUAGCCAACAUAUAGUACAUCAUUAAUUUUUGAUGUAGUGUUCAAUGAUUAAUUGUGUGUAACACCCAGUGCUCAUCACAUCACAUGCCCUCCUUAAUGCCCAUCACCCAGUUAUCCCAUCCCCCCACCCACCUCCCUUUCCGCAACCCUCAGUUGGUUUCCCAGAGUCAAGAAUCUCUCAUGGUUUGUCUCCCUCUAAUUUCUUCCCAUUCAGUUUUCCCUCCCUUCCCCUAUGAUCCUCUACACUAUUUCUUAUGUUCCACAUAUGAGUGAAACUAUAUGAUAAAUGUCUUUCUCUGACUGACUUAUUUCACUUAGCAUAAUACCCUCCAGUUCU